GAUGAACAAGAGACAAAGAGCAAGCUUGCUGGAACUGAUGCAAUGAUGAUACAAAAUUUCUAUUACCAAUACUGUAGAAAAUAUCUUCACAAAGGUUCAGUUUCUCAACUUUGUUCUUUGCCCACAAUAAGUGAAAUCCAUCAUGAUUGAUCUUGGGACAAGUGGGUGGAUGGAGUUGGUCUUACUAUGGAGGGUGCUGGCCGCGGGGGAGCGAUGUUGCUUAGCUUUGACUUUGCGAUGGCGCGCUGAUAUGUUUUUAGAGCUAUGGAUCAAUUUGUUGGCUUUGAAGGACAAGAUCAGAUUAUUGGCUGAUAACUUGGCUUUGAAUUUGGAUGCCAUACUGCAUGAUCUUCAUCCAGCAUCUUGGCAGAGUGGUGGUUUGCGAUGAGCAAAUCUGAUUCUAAAGACAGCCAAUUAGGAAGGCUACAAUCCAGUGUGGCAUCCUAGAUUCUGAAGGAGAGGUUGCACACGCUGAAUGAGGCUGUGAUGGUGAUGUCUAGGGCUAGCGUGCUGAAGAAUGGGCAAAUGAGUAAAAAUAAGCAUGGUAGAGAGGGAAGCUAUUUUGGAGGAGCUGAAGACUGUAGAGCUACACCAUAAGAAACUCAACGUGCCAUUAUAUUCGUUAGUCUAUCCUAUGGUUACUUUAGUCCAUUAUAUUCUUAUUAAUAAGUAACUGAGUAACUGAAAUCUAGGUUGGGGUUCCAUCACACUCCAACCUUCCUUUGCCUCUCCAUACUCGUCUCGUGCUGAUACUCAUCAGUUAACAAUUAACCAGUGCAUACACGCAUAUGUGCCUAAAAGUCAGGUGACUGCUAUAGCUCUUUGUUAGCUAGGCCAAUUGUACUCAUCCAAUGGAUCGAAACCAACAACGGGCAAUGCUUGGUUAAAAGUUACUAUAGCCUGAAUGCAUGUAUGUACGUACGCACGUAUAAAUGUAUGUGUUUAGAUGCUUCA
Zea mays is the source of this 954-nucleotide long non-coding RNA. RefSeq lists it as uncharacterized. The transcript has 3 exons. NCBI's taxonomy places the organism in Eukaryota, Viridiplantae, Streptophyta, Magnoliopsida, Poales, Poaceae. The record is from RefSeq and is a predicted model, not a curated record.